Molecule: non-coding RNA, 849 nt
Organism: Rhopilema esculentum
Lineage: Eukaryota; Metazoa; Cnidaria; Scyphozoa; Rhizostomeae; Rhizostomatidae
Source: RefSeq, a predicted model, not a curated record
CAAUUGCUUUUUGUAGUUUUUUGUAUAUAGAACUGUAAGAAGCAGGCAUGUGCGGAUUUGGGGAGACUGAGCUUCGAAAGAGACUUGAGAGAUGGUGAAAAUAAACAUAAAUUUUGAAGAUACAACGAUCAAUUAGCUCAGAUGGCGGAAAAUCUUCUCGAUGCUAAGAAGAAAAAUUUAGUGAACGAGACAGAAAGUUCGUCCAAAAGAUGCCAGAAUUUUGGAACACAUGGCAUCGAUGACUUGGUGUCGUUGGAAACCUACAAAGCAAAAUGGAAGGCAAUAUACAUUAUUUAUUUGGUUUCCUUUUCCAGUUCAAUAGAGUACACAAGCACAAUGCCGUCACUUUGGCCAUACCUACAAAAGGUGCGGUUUUCUCGUUUUCUGAUACCAGUAUUUUGUUAUAAUUUCUUCACUGCCAAAGAGCCUUGUUAUUGUCUUUGCUUAAAUUUCUUGUCUUUAGUAUCAUUACCCAUCAUUGAUCCAUUUCAUUUGAUUUUUUAACUUAAUGUAAGUUUCACACUAUAUCCAUUCCGUAAAAAUAAAAGUUAUGAUAUACUUACUUAAAGAAAAACUACAUUGCAAUAAAAAUUUGCUAAAUUAACUUAGAUAUUAAAAAUUUGAAUCCCAAACUUCCAUGGAUUCGUGUCGAGCUGUCUUCUGUUAUCUCAAAAGGUGAAAUAUCAUAUGAUAUGAGAAGUCAUGGGCUAGUAGUCAUGGAUCAGGUUUCUAUGGUAAUGCACAUGUAACUGGCCUUUCAUAAGAAUUAUUCUUUCAGAUACACACAUUUUUGAAAAUAACUGUUUACCAAUCUGUCAUAAAGUACUCGACGCUUUAUAGGUAGUGCUG